This is a long non-coding RNA of Cryptomeria japonica (Japanese cedar), 593 nucleotides long. RefSeq lists it as uncharacterized. The transcript is spliced from 2 exons. The record is from RefSeq and is a predicted model, not a curated record. Lineage: Eukaryota; Viridiplantae; Streptophyta; Pinopsida; Cupressales; Cupressaceae.
AAAGGACCUGCAAAUAUGGAGCCAUUUACAAUAAACAUUAGAUUUGUAUAAAGCAAUUGCACAAAGGGGAGUGAGCAGACGACAAUGGCUGCCCAACAGAAAAUGGAGCUGGACGAGGUUGAGUAUAAGAAAAAAAUUAGGAACUGUUUUAGGUAGCAUCAAGAAAGACCAGCCAAUAGACCUCAACAAGAUCAGUCCAAAUUCUAAGUGGAUUGCAAACAAAGAUGCCCUUGACGAUGGUGAUAAUUAUGAUCUCUUUAAAGAGUGCAACCAAUAUAGUGAUGUGCUUGAACGUGACUCUAGAGAGGUUCUAAUCCAAGAGCUUCAUCAUCGUGACCUAAAGCCCUCUAGUGUAGCUCUCUUCACAGCAGAAAGAGUCAUUGUCUGUCUGAAUUUUUGGAACUUUGUUCUUAGUUUGUAGGUUGAUUUUAUACAAAGUAGAUUGUCAUUGAAAAUUUGAAAAAUAUUAACAUCUAGUUUUCAUUUAUGCACCAUGCAAUAUGCAUUUUGCAAUGCAAUACAAUUAGCAAUAUGAACAUAAAUGAGAAAAAAUAAUAACCACAAUUCAUGGGUUAAACUCUCAUUUUUAUUUA